RNAcentral lists this ribosomal RNA (350 nucleotides) under uncultured bacterium. RNAcentral's name for it is "bacterial SSU rRNA". It matches the Rfam family "Bacterial small subunit ribosomal RNA", at positions 8 to 350 of the family's 1533-position model. The record is from RNAcentral.
AGAGUUUGAUCAUGGCUCAGGAUGAACGCUAGCUACAGGCCUAACACAUGCAAGUCGAGGGGCAGCAUGGUCUUAGCUUGCUAAGGCCGAUGGCGACCGGCGCACGGGUGAGUAACACGUAUCCAACCUGCCGUCUACUCUUGGACAGCCUUCUGAAAGGAAGAUUAAUACAAGAUGGCAUCAUGAGUCCGCAUGUUCACAUGAUUAAAGGUAUUCCGGUAGACGAUGGGGAUGCGUUCCAUUAGAUAGUAGGCGGGGUAACGGCCACCUAGUCUUCGAUGGAUAGGGGUUCUGAGAGGAGGUCCCCCGANAUUGGAACUGAGACACGGUCCAAACUCCUACGGGAGGCA